Oreochromis aureus is the source of this 694-nucleotide long non-coding RNA. RefSeq lists it as uncharacterized. Lineage: Eukaryota; Metazoa; Chordata; Actinopteri; Cichliformes; Cichlidae. The record is from RefSeq and is a predicted model, not a curated record. The transcript is spliced from 4 exons.
GGGCGGUAGGCCUGUGCUUCUACUUGGGCACAACCUUCGCUGGAGCCAUGUACAUCCUGGGAGCUGUCGAGAUCCUUCUGGUGUUUGGCCACGGGAAAGAUGACUGGGAACCUACGUGGGCCCUGCUGCUGACAGUUCUGAUAGCUGGAGGGGGGGGGCACAGAGUCAGCCCCAUCCCUCACCCCACCCCAGUCCAAGCAAACUUUAGAUGAUCUCUCACAUGAAUUUUCAUUUCUGCCCCCCACCAUCCCACCUUGUGUGUGUGGGUGUGGUGUGGGUGUGGUGUGGUGUGGUGUGGUCGACAGCCCAAAAGGACGAAGGCAAGGAAGGCAGCAGGUCCGGAUAGAAUCUGCUCCAGACUGCUGCAGGACUGUACAGAACAGCUUUGUCAGUGACAUCAUAUACCUGUGAGGACGCUGAUGAUGGAGCAAAGGUCUCAGAUGCUGAGACAGAUGCGACUGUCUAAAUCUAAUCGGCACAGAGAGGACUAUGCAUCUCUUUAAAAAGAGACCAAGACCAGAGUCAGCCCCAUCCCUCACCCCACCCCACUCCAAACAAACUUUAGAUAAUCUCUCACAUGGAUUUUCAUUUCUGCCCCCACCAUCCCACCUGGUGGGGGGGGGGCGGGGAUCCUCACCCCGACCCAGCCCAGCCCAGCCCAGCCCCACAUCGACAGCCCAAGAGGACAAAGGAA